Molecule: ribosomal RNA, 301 nt
Filed under: uncultured bacterium
Lineage: Bacteria
Description: partial 16S ribosomal RNA
Rfam family: Bacterial small subunit ribosomal RNA
Source: RNAcentral
CAGUCGCCGCGGUAAUACGGAGGGUGCAAGCGUUAAUCGGAAUUACUGGGCGUAAAGCGCACGCAGGCGGUCUGACAAGUCAGAUGUGAAAUCCCCGGGCUUAACCUGGGAACUGCAUUUGAAACUGUCAGGCUGGAGUCUUGUAGAGGGGGGUAGAAUUCCAGGUGUAGCGGUGAAAUGCGUAGAGAUCUGGAGGAAUACCGGUGGCGAAGGCGGCCCCCUGGACAAAGACUGACGCUCAGGUGCGAAAGCGUGGGGAGCAAACAGGAUUAGAUACCCCUGCAGUCCCUGUCUCUUAUAC